This 441-nucleotide ribosomal RNA is filed under the name uncultured bacterium. RNAcentral describes it as "bacterial SSU rRNA". It matches the Rfam family "Bacterial small subunit ribosomal RNA", at positions 86 to 525 of the family's 1533-position model. The record is from RNAcentral.
UGCCGGCGAGCGGCGGACGGGUGAGUAAUACGUAAGAACUUGCCGUAUAGAUGGGGACAACCAAUGGAAACGUUGGCUAAUACCGAAUACACUCGCGAGAGGAAAGGCGCCUAGCAAUAGGUGUCGCUAUAUGAGAGGCUUUCGUCCGAUUAGCUAGUUGGUGGGGUAAGAGCUCACCAAGGCGAUGAUCGGUAACUGGUCUGAGAGGACGACCAGUCACACUGGGACUGAGACACGGCCCAGACUCCUACGGGAGGCAGCAGUGGGGAAUAUUGGACAAUGGGGGAAACCCUGAUCCAGCGAUGCCGCGUGGGUGAAGAAGGCCUUCGGGUUGUAAAGCCCUUUAAGCUGGGAAGAAGCUAGUAGUGCGAAUACCAUUAUUAGUUGACGGUACCGGCAGAAUAAGCGCCGGCAAACUCUGUGCCAGCAGCCGCGGUAAUA